AAAUCUUCUUUAGCUUCGUUUGGUAUGGUCAGCAGGUCAGCCAGCCAGGCUCCUCAUUAGCACAGAUCUCUGAACUCUAAGUUAAAAGAAAGACAUUGAGUCUCAAGCCAACGUUUCUGCAUCACUUAUUCAGGAUGGUGAUCUUGGUGGGAUGAGGGUUUCUGUUUGGUUUGGUCUGCAGGUCUCUGUGUCCCUGUGUCCUGAAGUUUGAUGAUAACUCAACAGAACUUGCCACCCUCAUCGAAUUCAACAAGAAGUUUCAGGAGAAGACCCACCAACUGAUUGAGAGUGGGCAAUAUGACACAAGGGAAGAUUUUACAGUGGUUGUGCAGCCGUUCUUUGAAAACGUGGACAUGCCAAAGACCUCGGAAGGAUUGCCUGACAACUCUUUCUUCGCUCCUGACUGUUUCCACUUCAGCAGCAAGUCUCACUCCCGAGCAGCCAGCGCCCUCUGGAACAAUAUGCUGGAGCCUGUUGGCCAGAAGAUGACAUGUCAUAAGUUUGAAAACGAGAUCAAUAUCACAUGUCCGAACCAGGUCCAGCCAUUUCUCAGGACCUACAA
RNAcentral lists this small RNA (562 nucleotides) under Pongo abelii (Sumatran orangutan). Its description in RNAcentral is "retained intron". The record is from RNAcentral. Lineage: Eukaryota; Metazoa; Chordata; Mammalia; Primates; Hominidae.